GAUGAACGCUAGCUACAGGCUUAACACAUGCAAGUCGAGGGGUAACGAGAGGAAAGCUUGCUUUCCUUGUCGACGACCGGCGCACGGGUGAGUAACGCGUAUCCAACCUGCCCCCAACUAAGGAAUAACCUUGCGAAAGUAAGACUAAUACCUUAUAAUUUCCUCAGAUGUCAUCUGACGAGGAAUAAAGAUUUAUCGGUUGUGGAUGGGGAUGCGUCUGAUUAGCUUGUUGGCGGGGUAACGGCCCACCAAGGCAACGAUCAGUAGGGGUUCUGAGACGAAGGUCCCCCACAUGGGGACUGGGACACGGUCCAAACUCCUACGGGAGGCAGCAGUGAGGAAUAUUGGUCAAUGGGCGAAAGCCUGAACCAGCCAAGUAGCGUGCAGGAUGACGGCCCUAUGGGUUGUAAACUGCUUUUAUACAGGAAUAAAGUUAGCCACGUGUGGUUAUUUGUAGGUACUGUAUGAAUAAGGACCGGCUAAUUCCGUGCCAGCCGCCGCAGUAA
Molecule: ribosomal RNA, 506 nt
Filed under: uncultured bacterium
Lineage: Bacteria
Description: partial 16S ribosomal RNA
Rfam family: Bacterial small subunit ribosomal RNA
Source: RNAcentral